Molecule: ribosomal RNA, 507 nt
Filed under: Aboma etheostoma (scaly goby)
Lineage: Eukaryota; Metazoa; Chordata; Actinopteri; Gobiiformes; Gobiidae
Description: partial 12S ribosomal RNA
Rfam family: Bacterial small subunit ribosomal RNA
Source: RNAcentral
GCCUAGCCUUAAACACAAAUAGCAAUCUACCCCGCUUAUUCGCCAGGGUACUACUAGCCCCAGCUUAAAACCCAAAGGACUUGGCGGUGCUUUAGACCCCCCUAGAGGAGCCUGUUCUAGAAUCGAUAAUCCCCGUUUAACCUCACCCUCUCUUGUCACCCCCGCCUAUAUACCACCGUCGUCAGCUUACCCUGUGAAGGUUUAAACAGUAAGCAAAAUUGGCACAGCCCAAAACGUCAGGUCAAGGUGUAGCGUACGAGAGGGGAAGCAAUGGGCUACAUUUGCUGCCACAGUAAAAACGGAUCUUGAAAUGAAACAAGCAUUUGAAGGAGGAUUUAGCAGUAAGCGGGGACUAGAGAGCCCCACUGAAAACGGCCCUGAAGCGCGCACACACCGCCCGUCACUCUCCCCCACAACUAGGCCCUAAUAAAUAAUAAGCCACGUAACAACCAAGGGGAGGCAAGUCGUAACAUGGUAAGUGUACCGGAAGGUGCACUUGGAAAAACC